AACGAACGCUGGCGGCAUGCCUAACACAUGCAAGUCGAACGAGACCUUCGGGUCUAGUGGCGCACGGGUGCGUAACGCGUGGGAACCUGCCCUUAGGUUCGGAAUAACUCCCCGAAAGGGGUGCUAAUACCGGAUAAUGUCUUCGGACCAAAGAUUUAUCGCCUUUGGAUGGGCCCGCGUUGGAUUAGCUAGUUGGUAGGGUAAAAGCCUACCAAGGCGACGAUCCAUAGCUGGUCUGAGAGGAUGAUCAGCCACACUGGGACUGAGACACGGCCCAGACUCCUACGGGAGGCAGCAGUGGGGAAUAUUGGACAAUGGGCGAAAGCAUGAUCCAGCAAGGCCGCGUGAGUGAUGAAGGCCUUAGGGUUGUAAAGCUCUUUUACCCGGGAUGAUAAUGACAGUACCGGGAGAAUAAGCUCCGGCUAACUCCGUG
Molecule: ribosomal RNA, 433 nt
Filed under: uncultured bacterium
Lineage: Bacteria
Description: partial 16S ribosomal RNA
Rfam family: Bacterial small subunit ribosomal RNA
Source: RNAcentral